CGCGACGCUGGCGGCGUGCCUAUACAUGCAAGUCGAGCGGACAGAUGGGAGCUUGCUCCCUGAUGUUAGCGGCGGACGGGUGAGUAACACGUGGGUAACCUGCCUGUAAGACUGGGAUAACUCCGGGAAACCGGGGCUAAUACCGGAUGGUUGUUUGAACCGCAUGGUUCAAACAUAAAAGGUGGCUUCGGCUACCACUUACAGAUGGCCCCGCGGCGCAUUAGCUAGUGGGGGAGGAACGGGUUACCCAAGGAACGAAGCCUAACCCAACUGGAAAGGUGAUCGGCCACACUGGGACUGAAACACGGCCCAAACUCCUACGGGAGGCAACAGUAAGGAAUCUUCCGCAAUGGACGAAAGUCUGACGGAGCAACGCCGCGUGAGUGAUGAGGGUUUUCGGAUCGUAAAGCUCUGUUGUUAAGGAAGAACAAGUACCGUUCGAAUAGGGCGGUACCUUGACGGUACCUAACCAGAAAGCACGGCUAACUACGUGCCAGCAGCCGCGGUAAUACGUAGUGGCAAGCGUUGUCCGGAAUUAUUGGGCGUAAAGGGCUUCGCAGGCGGUUUCUUAAGUCCUGAUUGUGAAAGCCCCGGCUUCAACCGGGGAAGGGUCAUUGGAAACUGGGGGAACCUUGGAUUGCAGAAGAGGAAGAGUGGAAAUUUCCCCGUGUAGCGGUGAAUUGGGUAAAAGAUGUGAGGAACCCAUUUGCCAAAGGCAACUCUUUGGUCUGAAAUUGACCCUGAGGACCGAAAGCUGGGGAAGCCAAACAGAAUUAAAAUCCCCUGUUAGUACACGCCGUAAACGAAGAGUGCUAAGGAUAGGGGGUUCCGCUCCCUUGAUGGUGAACUAACGAUUUAACCUCCCCCCUGGGGGAUUAUCGUCCUAAAAU
RNAcentral lists this ribosomal RNA (890 nucleotides) under Bacillus subtilis. RNAcentral's name for it is "bacterial SSU rRNA". It matches the Rfam family "Bacterial small subunit ribosomal RNA", at positions 30 to 894 of the family's 1533-position model. Lineage: Bacteria; Bacillati; Bacillota; Bacilli; Caryophanales; Bacillaceae. The record is from RNAcentral.